Molecule: ribosomal RNA, 490 nt
Filed under: uncultured bacterium
Lineage: Bacteria
Description: partial 16S ribosomal RNA
Rfam family: Bacterial small subunit ribosomal RNA
Source: RNAcentral
GAUGAACGCUGGCGGCGUGCCUAAUACAUGCAAGUCGAGCGAACGGACGAGAAGCUUGCUUCUCUGAUGUUAGCGGCGGACGGGUGAGUAACACGUGGAUAACCUACCUAUAAGACUGGGAUAACUUCGGGAAACCGUAGCUAAUACCGGAUAAUAUUUUGAACCGCAUGGUUCAAAAGUGAAAGACGGUCUUGCUGUCACUUAUAGAUGGAUCCGCGCUGCAUUAGCUAGUUGGUAAGGUAACGGCUUACCAAGGCAACGAUGCAUAGCCGACCUGAGAGGGUGAUCGGCCACACUGGAACUGAGACACGGGCCAGACUCCUACGGGAGGCAGCAGUAGGGAAUCUACCGCAAUGGGCGAAAGCCUGACGGAGCAACGCCGCGUGAGUGAUGAAGGUCUUCGGAUCGUAAAACUCUGUUAUUAGGGAAGAACAUAUGUGUAAGUAACUGUGCACAUCUUGACGGUACCUAAUCAGAAAGCCACGGCUAA